UACGAAGGGGGCAAGCGUUGUUAGGAUUUACUGGGCGUAAAGGGCGCGUAGGCGGAUCUGCAAGAAAGAGGUGAAAGACCUGGGCUCAACCCGGGAAUGGCCUUUGAGACUGCAAGUCUUGAGUGCGAGAGAGGGUGGCGGAAUACCCAGUGUAGAGGUGAAAUUCGUAGAUAUUGGGUAGAACACCGGUGGCGAAGGCGGACACCUGGCUCGCAACUGACGCUGAGGAGCGAAAGCGUGGGGAGCAAACAGG
This 253-nucleotide ribosomal RNA is filed under the name uncultured bacterium. RNAcentral describes it as "partial 16S ribosomal RNA". It matches the Rfam family "Bacterial small subunit ribosomal RNA", at positions 524 to 776 of the family's 1533-position model. The record is from RNAcentral.